RNAcentral lists this ribosomal RNA (485 nucleotides) under uncultured bacterium. Its description in RNAcentral is "bacterial SSU rRNA". It matches the Rfam family "Bacterial small subunit ribosomal RNA", at positions 28 to 519 of the family's 1533-position model. The record is from RNAcentral.
GACGAACGCUGGCGGCGUGCUUAACACAUGCAAGUCGAACGAGAAGAGAUGAGAAGCUUGCUUCUUAUUGAUUCGAGUGGCAAACGGGUGAGUAACGCGUAAGCAACCUGCCCUUCAGAUGGGGACAACAGCUGGAAACGGCUGCUAAUACCGAAUGACAUAUAUUAAGGGCAUCCUUGAUAUAUCAAAGAUUUUAUCGCUGAAAGAUGGCCUCGCGUCCGAUUAGAUAGUUGGCGGGGUAACGGCCCUACCAAGUCGACGAUCGGUAGCCGGACUGAGAGGUUGACCGGCCACAUUGGGACUGAGAUACGGCCCAGACUCCUACGGGAGCAGCAGUGGGGAAUAUUGGGCAAUGGACGCAAGUCUGACCCAGCAACGCCGCGUGAAGGAAGAAGGCUUUCGGGUUGUAAACUUCUUUUAAGGGGGAACAGUAGAAGAGGGUACCCCUUGAAUAAGCCACGGCUAACUACGUGCCAGCAGCCGCG